AUUUAAGAGUUUGAUAGUACUUGCUCUCUAUAUAGUAGGAAAUUAAUCACAGUUUUUCCAGUUGGUAAAUGAUGGAGUCUAGUGAUGUAAAUAUUCUUUAUAUUCAGCACAUUAGAUUUUGUAAGGAGCCUUCUAUUUAACAAAUUGUGGAAAUUUGUAGACUGGAAACUAUACUUUAAGUGCAUUUGCUAUUAAAGGAUCUUGUAGUCUGCUGAAGAAAAUGCAGAGUUCUCUGCAUUAAAGUGAAAAAUUUCUACUUAUUAAUUUUUUUGGUGGUGGCCAAAUAUCUAUUACAUUAUCUAACAGUGACCUUGAGAUCAUUUUUCUUUUCAAAUAUCUAUAAUUGUCUUAAAGGAUUUAUCGUAUGGCAAAAUAGCCAUGGAGUAAGGAUGUUUAAUGGAAUCAGAACCACCUAACUGAGUUGAUGUCAAGGGUAAUAAAAGAGCACAUUUCACAGUUUUACUCAUAAGCCAUAACUUUAUUUAAAACUGAAUCUCUCUUGAAAAGGUGCAAUGUAUAAUUUGUGAACUAGAUGCAUAUUUUUCAUUAGUGAGUCUUUCAGAAAAAAAUGUUCUCUAGGGCAAAGGGCUUUUCUCCUCUCUCUGAGAUGUUGUACUUAAAUUAUAGAGGUCCCUGCUUUGGCUACUGAGGGCAUAUUUUAUGUCCAGUUUUCCAGCAAUGUUUGAGUACCAAUAGUAUGAUUUCAACAUAUUCCACUUCAGCAGUAUGAAUUCCUGAUAUGUAAUGUCAUUUGUUUGUUUUGGAAAUCUGUGAUUAUUACUUUUUUUUUAAAUUCCCUUUGGGAAUAUUUAUAAUAUUUAUAAUUUGUGAAUAUCUAUAAUCAAUUAUGUAGAAAACUUCAAAGAUAAUCAGAACUAAGUAUAGUAAAUGAGAUUCCCAGAAAAUGAUUCAGCAGCAUUCUUUUUUUCAUCCCAUGUCUAUAAUGUCCCUGUCAUUUGAUUGCCAAAGAAAAAUUUGUCAAAAAAGCUAGGAAAGAAAGUAGUAAUUUCUAAAGAGAUAGAUAUGAUGUAUUUAAACAACUCUAAAAAAAAAAAAGUAGUAUAGGAAAAAAUGAAGAGAUAGAGAGCAGUAUUCCAAAAAAAGGAAGUAAGAGAAGUUAUAGUAGGAGCAAAACUAAACUGCCAACCAAUCCCAUACCUUCUUCAAUGUAACUCAACCAUCAUGACUUCAAAUAUAUCCUUCCCAGUCUUGCAGGCAAACCUCUCCAGUUUGUCUAGUACUAAACCUUUUUAACUUUCACAAGAUAUACUCAAUAUUAGAGCAUAGAUCUUGUAUACUUAAUAGAUUCUAACUGUUUCUAUUAUGCCCUUCCACUUGUCUUCUCAGAGUCCUAUCCUAAAUACUGUGAUCAACAAAAUAAAAUUUCACAGACGCACCCCAUUCCUAACUCCUAAGGAAAUAUUCAUACCCAUAGGACAUACAUUACUGACUGGAGUUUCAGCAAGACAUUUGGCAGAGUCCCUCAAGAUAUUCUUAUAGAGAAGAUAGAAAUGUGUGAUCUGGAUAAUGGUGCAAUUAGUUGGAUUUAAAACUGGUUGAAUGACUGGAAACAAAGAGUUCCAGUCUAACUAAAGGACUGUCAACCGAAUUUCAUAUUCUCUUGUAAGGUGUCCCAGGACUUGGUCCUCAGUCUCAUUUUAUUCAACCCUUUAAACAGUGAUUUAUAGGAAAUCAUGAAUAGAAUGGAAUGCUUAUCAAGUCUGUCGAUUAUACAGAGCUGGGAAGAAUAACUAACUUGUUACACGAUUGAUUCAAGAUCUGAAGAAAUCUCAGCAGACUAGAAUGAUAGUCCUAAUCUAAUAAAAUGACAUUUAAUGGAGGUGAGUGUUAAAUUUUGUAUUUAAAUUUAAGACUUUAAUUCCCCAAUUUCAGGAUGGGAGAGAUAUGACUGAACAAAAAGUUAUGUGUAAUUGUUAUUGGGAUUUUAGUGAACUUCAAGCCUAAUAUAACUCAGUGGUAUACAUAAUGAUGGGAUAGGAUGGAGAGGCAGCUAAUGUGUCAUCAGGCUAUGGGAAUUACGUAUAUUCAGAACUAAGUAGUGAUCAUUCCAUGAUCCAUUCCAUACUCGUUAUGUGGAGUAUUGUAUUUGGUUCUACAUACCAAAUGGAUAAGCUAUAAUUUGUCCAGAAGAGGCUACCAGGAUAGAAAGGGGAGCUCAAAACUCAAGAUCCAAUGAUCUAAGGAUAUUUAACCUGGAAAAGUCUUUGGAGACACAGUGAAAUAUGAUGGCUAUCUUCAAAUAUUUGAAGGAUUUUCAUGUGGAAACAAGAGUAAGCUUGUUCUGCUUGGCACAUAAGGAGCAGAGGUAAGAGCACUGGAUAGAAACUGCAUAGACACAUUUUGACUUGUUUCCUAAUAAAUAGAGCCAUCCAGAAAUGGAAAGAGCUACCUCAGGGGAAGGUUUUACAUAUCACUGGAGAUGUUUAAGCAAAGGCUAGAUGACCACUUACUAGAGAAUUUGUAGAGUGAUUUACUAUUAGGUAGGAGUGGGACCAAAAAGUCUGUGGGAUCUUUGCCAGUUCUGAGAUUCUGUGCCUCUAUAUGAAAGACAGAAUGUUCUUUUGACAUCAAGAAACUUUUUAUAUCCUAUAAACAGACAACUCAUAAAAAUACGCCUGUGCAUAGGAUAGCCUUAUAUUUGCAGAGUACUUUUUCCCAAGGAUCUAAAAAUACAUUUUUUCCCCUUCUGCUAAGUUUGUUAAGUAGUUAAGGAACCCACAUCCACUCAAUUAAAUUAGAAAACAAGUUAAAAAAUUAACUAACUUGGUCAGGUUGUCCACUGAGUCAUCAAGCUCUUCCCACUAUAUCAGGCUAUUUGUAUUUGUAGCAUGUAAAUGACUAUUUGCCAAAUAUCUUAUUUCCGGAAUUCCAUUCUUUCCACAGUAAUAAUUGAGAAUCCAAUUCUGGUGGUAGACUGAAAUGUGAUGUAUUUAAAGUUGUGAGAAUAAAAAUGAGGUCAACAAAUGAGAUAAAAUACAAUUUCCACUUGAGGGUUAUGCCUAUGAUUUUACAUUUUUUUUGAAAGACUGAUAUUUGAAUGACAAAUGGACUAUUGAAGUUACUUUUUCCUCUUAGCAGUUUUUUUGGUUCUUUGUUUCUAAAUUAUUGAAAUGCAUGUGGCCUUUUAAAUCUAAUCAAGUGGUGACCAUAUGUUAAUGACAAUAGCAAAAAAAAAAAAAAAAAAAAUGAACAUGUUUGUGCCUUAAGAGGCAGGACUAUUAAGUAAGAUAAUUUCUCAGAUACUUUAAUUCCUUUUUCCUGUAUAGAAAACAAUGAAUGCUUUACAAUCUUUUUUUAUUUUCUUAUUUGUAAAAUACUUUUUGAAACUUUUUUGUUUAUCAAAUCAUAGCAAAUUCAAACCAUGAAAGAGAAACUAACAAAUUAGAGGAAAUUAGUUCAGAUUUAUGAGCACUCCUGAUAGUUUUCUUUAGUUCUAAACUUAGGGGCUUCUUCUUUUCAUAUACAUAUGCCCUAUUUCACCAGUAUCCAUAGCAAUACUACAUAUAGCAUCAUUGCAAACUUACUAUGUAUUUUAAGGGCCCUAAUAGUGCCAACUUGUACAUUCAGACAACUGCACUAUCACAUUUGUUGAAAGUGAUCUCUUCCUUAUUUGCUUCUAAGUGAAGUAUAGGAAAGUAAUCAUAUAACACUAACCAAGAGUUGCUAACCCCCUGCAGUCUGUUGUGUUUGCUCAGUGGGCACCAUAACCUGUUGUACUUUGCCCAACCUACACACCAGAUCCCUAUAUCAUUUACAAACUUCUAGAAACUCAAAUUGAAACAAAAACAAAGCUGGAAAGAAUACUACACUGAAGUUCUCCAUAAACCUCAUGUGGUCCUUAGUAGAGAGUAAUUCCCAAGUGUGAUUAGCUAAAACUAACUCUUGGGACUGAAUCGGGCGUAGAAACAAGCCUCUCUACUUAUGUCUCAAUUUGCAGACCAGAAUGGAUUCUCUGGUCUUGUUUAGACCCAAUAUACCACAGAAUGCAUUUUCCCUCUGGAAGAUUGUUAUAAAUUCUUAAAGUUGCCCUGGGGUUUAGGAAGUCCAACCCUUAAAUUUGGCUACUAAACAAGAAACCAUCCAGAGUUUGCAAUUAAGCCUCAGGUGACAGGGGGCUGUUUCCUAGCCAUUUUUUUUUAAAAACAAGCCUAGAUUCCCAAAGCUCUACAAUUCCAAUCAUAUUAAGCCAUCUUACUGUGUAUGAAGAACAGGGUCUCUUAUAAUAUCCUUUUAAAGUUAUAGUAUUCAACUUAAGCAGAAAAACCAGAGCCUUAACUACUUUACACAUCUCUCAAGAUAAGCGCAAUAUCCCUUUAGGAUUUAAUGUUCCCUAAAUGUAUUAAUAAUUCGUUACUAUUCAAAACCUGGUUUCUUUAUGGUUAUGUGCUUCUGGUGUAUAAGGCUGAAUGGCAAUUGAAACUAUAAUUUAUCAAUUCAAAUACACUCCUCAUACCAAAGGUAAUUUUGUGAUUCUUGUUGCAUGUUCCAUAUGAUGUGUAUAGUCAUGACAUGUACAAGAUGAGAUACAUCAUAAAAGCAUCGUUUCAUUGAGAUUUGACUUGAGAAAUCUGAAUGUCUUAAGAACUAUACUGUUUUAUGUUACUCUAAAGUUGUGCACUUAGUCUUAAGUGGGAAUAAGUGUUGAUCUUGUCUAAGCAUUUGUUUGAUUUGAGAUUGACUAUAUGUUGUGGAUUGAAAUUGAUAUCAUAUAUGCCAGAGAUUCUAGCCAUGAAGACAACCAUUGCUGGUCAUGAAAUGCAGGAAGAAAUAGCAAAAAAACAAACAAACAAAAAAAAAAAACAACAGUUGUGUGGAUUUUGAAGAACCUUUCAAUUUCAAAAGCAAUGGACAGUUUUCUUUUUUUAAAAAGAAAAUCCCAAUUUCUAGAAAUUGUGGUUAAUGAUCUUUUCUCAUUCCCAGCAAAUCAUUUUAUCACUCUUUUUCACCCUCUCAUCCCCAUAGCUGAAGGUCAGAAAACACUGCUGAUGGGAAAUGUUGAAGCUUUACUUCAGCUGGGGGGAGGAGGAGGCUAUUUAGGAGGCUAAUUGUAAAAAGACAAACAAAAAAAAUAUUUAUGCUUUGUCAAGAACCAAAGCCAAGAAGAAGUUGUAUCUGUGAAAUAUUAAGCUAUAUCUGUAUAUAGAAUAAACACACCAUGAUCUUUGACUCAUUACUACAGACCUUGUAACCAGUUGUAUACUAUAAUGUUUUACUGUAAUGAAGAAAAUUUCACACUUUAGCUAUAGAAAGCUGGGAAAAUAAUUUAAAAUACAGUGUAAUUAACAUGAAA
RNAcentral lists this long non-coding RNA (5311 nucleotides) under Sarcophilus harrisii (Tasmanian devil). Its description in RNAcentral is "lncRNA (ENSSHAG00000027832.1)". Lineage: Eukaryota; Metazoa; Chordata; Mammalia; Dasyuromorphia; Dasyuridae. The record is from RNAcentral.